This 279-nucleotide ribosomal RNA is filed under the name uncultured bacterium. Its description in RNAcentral is "partial 16S ribosomal RNA". It matches the Rfam family "Bacterial small subunit ribosomal RNA", at positions 506 to 784 of the family's 1533-position model. The record is from RNAcentral.
UGCCAUCAGCCGCGGUAAUAUGAAGGGACCUAGCGUAGUUAGGAAUUACUGGGCUUAAAGCGAGCGUAGGCGGUUAAUCAAGUUGGGGGUGAAAGCCCGGGGCUCAGCCCCGGAAAUGCCCUCAAAACUAGUUAACUAGAGGACGGGAGAGGGGAGUGGAACUCCCAGUGUAGAGGUGAAAUUCGUAGAUAUUGGGAAGAACACCAGUGGCGAAGGCGACUCUCUGGACCGUUUCUGACGCUAAGGCUCGAAAGCGUGGGUAGCAAACAGGAUUAGAUA